This 465-nucleotide ribosomal RNA is filed under the name uncultured bacterium. RNAcentral's name for it is "partial 16S ribosomal RNA". It matches the Rfam family "Bacterial small subunit ribosomal RNA", at positions 338 to 795 of the family's 1533-position model. The record is from RNAcentral.
CCUACGGGAGGCAGCAGUGGGGAAUAUUGCUCACUGGGCGAAAGCCUGCCGCAGCGACGCCGCGUGAGGGAUGAAGGUCUUCGGAUCGUAAACCUCUGUCAGCAGGGAAGAACGGUCACUGUGCUAAUCAGCAGUGAAUUGACGGUACCUGCAAAGGAAGCACCGGCUAACUCCGUGCCAGCCGCCGCGCUAAUACGGCGGGUGCGAGCGUUAAUCGGAAUUACUGGGCGUAAAGCGCUCGUAGGCGGUAUGUCAAGUCAAGGGUGAAAUCCCCGCGCUCAACGUGGGAACUGCCCUUGAAACUGGCAAACUGGAGUGUGGGAGAGGAUAGUGGAAUUCCAGGUGUAGGAGUGAAAUCCGUAGAUAUCUGGAGGAACAUCAGUGGCGAAGGCGACUAUCUGGAACAUAACUGACGCUGAGGAGCGAAAGCGUGGGUAGCAAACAGGAUUAGAUACCCUUGUAGUC